This 702-nucleotide long non-coding RNA is filed under the name Ananas comosus (pineapple). Its description in RNAcentral is "long non-coding RNA (ACOM_LNC006009)". Lineage: Eukaryota; Viridiplantae; Streptophyta; Magnoliopsida; Poales; Bromeliaceae. The record is from RNAcentral.
AAUGACCAAUUCCGAUUUUGAUUAUAGUCUAUUCUUGAAUUCAAUUCUGACUUCGAACCAAACGUUCCCUUAAAAAGUCCAGAUAAGUCUAAUGCAUGGGUAAGGUAUCAAAACGAGAUCAUGCCGGUCUUCGUAUGUUUUGACUAAUGCUCUACAAUCCAUACAAAUUCAUUAAUUGACAGUUCCUCCUGCAUACCUGUUUGCUCCUCUUUUCUUCUCUUCUCCUUUCAUCUCUUCUCCCUCCUCCCUUUCAUACCAAAUUUUUACGCCUCGAGAAGAUACAUAUCGAAAAAGUAACAAAUCUUUCCAAAUCAAUCUUGGAGCAGAUAAUAAAUUUUUUCAAAUCAAUCUUGAAAAUGUACCAAAUCUAUUCCAUACAAAUCCAUUAAUUGACAAUUCCUCCUGCAUACGUGUCCGCUCCUCCUUUCUUCUUUCUCCUUUCUCCUUUCAUCUCUUCUCUCUCCUCCCUUUCAUACUAAAUCUUUACGCUUCGGGAAGGUACACUUCAGAAAAAUAACAAAUCUUCUCAAAUCAAUCUUGGGGAAGGUAAUAAAUUUUUUCAAAUCAAUCUUGAAAAUGUACCAAAUCUUACAUCUCGGGAAGCUACCAAAUCUUUCCAAAUCCAUCUCGGAAAGGUACCAAAUCUAUCCAAAUAUUUCCUUACUUUGGAAAAUGACAAAAUCCUCACCUUGAUUCCGGUGU